GACGAACGCUGGCGGCGUGCUUAACACAUGCAAGUCGAACGGAAAGGCCCUGCUUUUGUGGGGUGCUCGAGUGGCGAACGGGUGAGUAACACGUGAGUAACCUGCCCUUGACUUUGGGAUAACUUCAGGAAACUGGGGCUAAUACCGGAUAGGAGCUCCUGCUGCAUGGUGGAGGUUGGAAAGUUUCGGCGGUUGGGGAUGGACUCGCGGCUUAUCAGCUUGUUGGUGGGGUAGUGGCUUACCAAGGCUUUGACGGGUAGCCGGCCUGAGAGGGUGACCGGCCACAUUGGGACUGCGAUACGGCCCAGACUCCUACGGGAGGCAGCAGUGGGGAAUAUUGCACAAUGGGCGGAAGCCUGAUGCAGCAACGCCGCGUGCGGGAUGACGGCCUUCGGGUUGUAAACCGCUUUCGCCUGUGACGAAGCGUGAGUGACGGUAAUGGGUAAAGAAGCACCGGCUAACUACGUG
Molecule: ribosomal RNA, 468 nt
Filed under: uncultured bacterium
Lineage: Bacteria
Description: partial 16S ribosomal RNA
Rfam family: Bacterial small subunit ribosomal RNA
Source: RNAcentral